RNAcentral lists this ribosomal RNA (552 nucleotides) under uncultured bacterium. RNAcentral describes it as "partial 16S ribosomal RNA". It matches the Rfam family "Bacterial small subunit ribosomal RNA", at positions 355 to 898 of the family's 1533-position model. The record is from RNAcentral.
UAGGGAAUCUUCCACAAUGGACGCAAGUCUGAUGGAGCAACGCCGCGUGAGUGAAGAAGGUCUUCGGAUCGUAAAGCUCUGUUGUUGGUGAAGAAGGAUAGAGGCAGUAACUGGUCUUUAUUUGACGGUAAUCAACCAGAAAAUCACGGCUAACUACGUGCCAGCAGCCGCGGUAAUACGUAGGUGGCAAGCGUUGUCCGGAUUUAUUGGGCGUAAAGCGAGCGCAGGCGGAAUGAUAAGUCUGAUGUGAAAGCCCACGGCUCAACCGUGGAACUGCAUCGGAAACUGUCAUUCUUGAGUGCAGAAGAGGAGAGUGGAACUCCAUGUGUAGCGGUGGAAUGCGUAGAUAUAUGGAAGAACACCAGUGGCGAAGGCGGCUCUCUGGUCUGCAACUGACGCUGAGGCUCGAAAGCAUGGGUAGCGAACAGGAUUAGAUACCCUGGUAGUCCAUGCCGUAAACGAUGAGCGCUAGGUGUUGGGGACUUUCCGGUCCUCAGUGCCGCAGCAAACGCAUUAAGCGCUCCGCCUGGGGAGUACGACCGCAAGGUUGAA